AUGUCGGGUGGCUCCACGGAUUAUAACAGAGAACAUGGAGGCCCAGAGGGAAUGGACCCCGAUGGUGUUGUCGAGAGCAACUGGAAUGAGUUUGUUGAUAACUUUGAUGAUAUGAAUUUAAAGGAGUCUCUUCUUCGGGGCAUCUAUGCUUAUGGUUUUGAGAAACCGUCAGCUAUUCAGCAGAGAGCUAUUAUUCCUUGUAUUAAAGGGUAUGAUGUGAUUGCUCAAGCUCAGUCAGGUACUGGCAAGACAACCACAUUUGCUAUUUCCAUCCUGCAACAGUUGGAGAUUGAGUUCAAGGAGACCCAAGCACUAGUAUUGGCCCCCACCAGAUAACUGGCUCAACAGAUCCAAAAGGUGAUUCUGGCACUUGGAGAUUAUAUGGGAGCAAUCUGUCAUGCUUGCAUUGGAGGAACCAAUGUUCGAAAUGAAAUGCAAAAUCUCCAGGCUGAAUGAAGCACCAUACAUUGUUGUUGGUACACCUGGGAGAGUGUUGAUAUGUUAAACAGAAGAUAUUUUUCUCCAAAAUGGGUCAAAAUGUUUGUUUUGGAUGAAGCUGAUGAAAUGUUGAGCUGAGGAUUUAAGGAUCAAAUUUGUAAGAUUUUCCAAAAAUUAAAUACAAGUAUUCAGGUUGUGUUGCUUUCUGCCACAAUGCCAACUAAUGUGUUGGAGGUGACCAAAAAAUUCAUGCGAGAUCCAAUUGGUGAAGAAGAAAGAAUUGCCCCUUAAAGGGAUCAAACAAUUUUACAUUAAUGUUGAGAUAGAGGAAUGGAAAUUGGAUACACUUUGUGACUUGUAUGAGACACUGACGAUUACACAGGCUGUUAUUGUUCUCUACACAGGCACAAAGUGGACUGGCUCACUGGGAAAAUGCACGCCAGGGAUUUCACAGUUUCUGCUCUGCAUGGUGACAUGGACCGGAAGGAGAGAGAUGUUAUCAUGAGAGAAUUCCAAUCAGGAUCAAGCCGUGUUUUGAUCACUACUGACUUGUUGGCUCGUGGGACUUAUGUGCAACAAGUGUCUUUGGUUAUAAACUAUGAUCUACCUACCAAUUGUGAAAAUUAUAUUCACAGAAUUGGCAGAGGGGGUCGAUUUGGGAGGAAAGGUGUGGCUACUUUGUUACCGAAGAAGACAAGAGGAUUCUUCGGUGACACUGAGACUUUCUACAAUAUUACAGUGGAGGAAAUGCCAAUGAAUGUGGCUGACCUUAUUUAAUUCCUGGGAUGAGAUAGUUUGAAUGCAGUGCUCGCUGUUGCUGAAUAGGCGAUCACAACGUGCAUUGUGCUUCUUUCUUUGGGAAUAUUUGAAUCGUCUCAAUGCUCAUAACGGAUCAGAAAUACAGAUUUUGAUAGCAAA
This is an RNA transcript of Condylura cristata (star-nosed mole), 1356 nucleotides long. It is a transcript of the gene named eukaryotic initiation factor 4A-II pseudogene, with no coding region annotated. The record is from RefSeq and is a predicted model, not a curated record. Lineage: Eukaryota; Metazoa; Chordata; Mammalia; Eulipotyphla; Talpidae. The transcript has a single exon.